AAAAAGGGCUUCUGUCAUGAGUGGCACACGAAGGUCAACUUGAUUGCUCUGCGUGCGGAAUCAACAAGAGAUUUCGGAAGCAUAAUUUCUUGGUAACUGGGCAGCUGGUGAUCUUGGUCCCUGUGGGGGAGGGGAUAACCAAAACAAGGCUGGGGGGUGGUGCACACCUUUAAUCCCAGCCCUCGG
Molecule: small nuclear RNA, 186 nt
Organism: Peromyscus maniculatus bairdii (prairie deer mouse)
Lineage: Eukaryota; Metazoa; Chordata; Mammalia; Rodentia; Cricetidae
Source: Ensembl